GUGCUCGCUUCGGCAGCACAUAUACUAAAAUUGGAAUGAUACAGAGAUUAGCAUGCAAAGAUAACAAGCAAAUUUGUGAAGCAAUAAAAACAAUA
RNAcentral lists this small nuclear RNA (95 nucleotides) under Ochotona princeps (American pika). Lineage: Eukaryota; Metazoa; Chordata; Mammalia; Lagomorpha; Ochotonidae. The record is from RNAcentral.